RNAcentral lists this ribosomal RNA (419 nucleotides) under uncultured bacterium. RNAcentral's name for it is "bacterial SSU rRNA". It matches the Rfam family "Bacterial small subunit ribosomal RNA", at positions 29 to 437 of the family's 1533-position model. The record is from RNAcentral.
AACGAACGCUGGCGGCGUGCCUAACACAUGCAAGUCGUGCGAGAAAGUUCCUUCGGGAGCGAGUAAAGCGGCGCACGGGUGAGUAACACGUAGGUAACCUGCCCCCCAGUCUGGAACAACUAGAGGAAACUCUAGCUAAUGCCGGAUGAGACCACGAUCCCUUCGGGGUUGCGGCCAAAGAUGGCCUCUACUUGUAAGCUAUCGCUGAGGGAUGGGCCUGCGGGCCAUUAGCUUGUUGGUGAGGUAACGGCUCACCAAGGCUGUGAUGGCUAGCUGGUCUGAGAGGAUGACCAGCCACACUGGGACUGAGACACGGCCCAGACUCCUACGGGAGCAGCAGUGGGAAUAUUGCGCAAUGGGCGAAAGCCUGACGCAGCGACGCCGCGUGGGUGAUGAAGCCUCGGUCGUAAGACCUGUCG